RNAcentral lists this ribosomal RNA (561 nucleotides) under Oxyeleotris marmorata (marble goby). Its description in RNAcentral is "partial 16S large subunit ribosomal RNA". It matches the Rfam family "Bacterial large subunit ribosomal RNA", at positions 1845 to 2605 of the family's 2925-position model. The record is from RNAcentral. Lineage: Eukaryota; Metazoa; Chordata; Actinopteri; Gobiiformes; Eleotridae.
AUAAGAGGUCCCGCCUGCCCUGUGACAUAAAAGUUUAACGGCCGCGGUAUUUUGACCGUGCGAAGGUAGCGUAAUCACUUGUCUUUUAAAUGAAGACCAGUAUGAAUGGCAUAACGAGGGCCAAACUGUCUCCUUUUUCUAGUCAAUGAAAUUGAUCUGUCCGUGCAGAAGCGGACAUAAACCCAUAAGACGAGAAGACCCUAUGGAGCUUAAGACACUAGGACAGCCCACGUUAAGCCCCCUCCAUAAAGAGCACAAACUAAAUGGCCCCUGUCCCACUGUCUUUGGUUGGGGCGACCGCGGGGCAACACGAACCCCCCACGUGGAAUAGGGCAUUCCCCCUCAAAAACAGAGCCACAGCUCUAGCAUACAGAACCUCUGACCAAUAAGAUCCGGCACUGCCGAUCAACGGACCGAGUUACCCUAGGGAUAACAGCGCAAUCCCCUUUUAGAGCCCAUAUCGACAAGGGGGUUUACGACCUCGAUGUUGGAUCAGGACAUCCUAAUGGUGCAGCCGCUAUUAAGGGUUCGUUUGUUCAACGAUUAAAGUCCUACGUGAUC